CUUACAGAGAGCAAAGAAGGUGCAUCUUUUCCAAGUGAUGCCAGUUGUGCUGAAGAUAAUUUAUGUAAUCUAAUAUUGGCUGCCAAUAAAGAAUCUGCAAGCACAGCAUCUGAAGCAUUCAGUAAUUUAUCGCCUAGGGAUGAAUGUAAGAUUGAAUUUUCAGAAGUUGCCAAUGCUGCUUUAAGGCAGAAUGAUGCAUUAGUUAAAGAAAAAAUUGCUAUGAGGAAGCGGUUUUUGAAAUUUAAGGAGAGAGUUAUAACCCUUAAGUUGAAAGCCUUUCACCACCUGUGGAAGGAAGAUAUGCGCCUGCUUUCGAUAAGGAAAUACCGUGCAAAAUCUCAGAAGAAAUAUGAAUUGAACUUGCGAAUAACACAUAGUGGGUAUCAAAAAAAUCGUUCUUCAAUUCGAUCUCGAGUCUCUUCACUUGUUGGAAAUCUUCGUCUGGUCCCUACC
Molecule: unclassified non-coding RNA, 453 nt
Filed under: Hevea brasiliensis (rubber tree)
Lineage: Eukaryota; Viridiplantae; Streptophyta; Magnoliopsida; Malpighiales; Euphorbiaceae
Source: RNAcentral